UCCAAGUCCUGGGGCGAUUGUCGGCUUAGUCGCUGUAUCAUUUCAACUGCUGUGCAGUUCUUCGCUAGUGACUAGACCGAACACUCGUAUCCCAGGCCUUUAC
This is a non-coding RNA of Aedes aegypti (yellow fever mosquito), 103 nucleotides long. The record is from Rfam. Lineage: Eukaryota; Metazoa; Arthropoda; Insecta; Diptera; Culicidae.